GAAAAACCACUUGCAGAGUAAGAACCUCAUUGACCUUCUUAGAGAGUUUGACUUUGACUAUUUGCAGCUGCCUAUCGCUCUAUAGCUUGCUCAGUGGUAAUUGUCUCUGUUCUGAGUGGUAAGUGUUUUUGAUUCCGUGUUUAUGCAAAUGAAUGAUGAGAUUUUGAUUGAUUAGUUGAUAACCUACUGAAUGUUUGGUGUACGAGUCUUAUGUUAUUGCUUCUUUCUUAGCUUCUUUCUCAGGUUUGUGUAAUUGGUUUCUCUGAUGGGUUUGUAUAAGAUCUUCUGUGUUCUGGUUAUUGACGUUUUAGCUUGAUAUAAUCUGAUGGGUUUGUUGGUUACUCGCAUUUUAGCUUGAUAUAAUCUGAUAGCUUGAUUUUGGAACCUCUAGACUAAGCACUGUCUUUAGUCUCUUGAGGUUAUAUCCUUGCAGGCUCUCUCGUCUCAAGCUCACACUCUCAAGUUCAGACCCUCUCAAGUUCAAGAGGUUUUGGUUGUUGUGUUAAUAAGAAUGAUUCACUGAAUAUUGUAGAAUGAGCUGGAUGUUACACAAGUUAUAAUCUCAUUUGUUUUGCGUGUAAUGGCUUUGUUGUUGAUUUGUUAGCAAAUUUCAUGUUGCUGGUGUAAUAACAAUCUCCUUUUGAUGGCUUUGUAGAUGCUUGAAAGAUGGAUAUUGGAAGAUGAAGAUGAUGAUUAUAAUGAUGAACUUGGUUUAUUUGAUGUGGCUAUAAGUGAGAGAUUGAGUCAAAGAACAGACUGAGGAGCAGGAUGGCGUCAUGUUCAACAACUUAUGUAUGAAUCUGAUCAACAAUGUUAUGACAUUCUUUUGAAGCUUUGUGCAAGAUCGUAACUGAGCGAUAUGGAUUGAAAGAGUCUCACAAUGUCUACAUUGAGAAUCUAUUGCGAUUUUUCUCGAGGUUGUUGGUCAAGAUAAGACGAAGCGGGAUAUUAGUGCAAGGUAUCAAAGAUCAUUGGAUACGGUACAAAGGAAGCUUGAUGAUGUCUUGAGUGCUCUUCUCAAGUUUGUAGAGGAUACACUAAGACCACAAGAAGGCGAGUUUACAAGAGUCAAUCCGGUUUUGAGGAAUGAUGAUCGGUAUUGGCCUUAUUUCAGAGAUUGUAUUGGAGCAGUUGAUGGAACUCAUGUCCCGGUACUCCCUCCAAAUCAAAAUGCAGAAGCAUACAAGGCAGAAAGCAAGAUCCUACAAUGAAUGUUCUUUCUAUAUGUAACUUCGAUAUGAAGUUCAUAUAUACAUAUCUCGGUGUACCUGGUAGAGCACAUGAUACCAAGGUUUUGACUCAUUGUGCGAGGAAUGACGCUUCUUUCCCACAUCCUCCUCCUGGAAAGUAUUAUCUACUUGACUCCGGAUAUCCGACCAGGACAGGCUAUCUUGGUCCGCAUCGUAGUAUGCGAUAUCAUCUUGGUCAGUUUGCUAGAGGAGGACCACCGGUUAGCGCAAGGGAGUUGUUCAACCGAAAGCAUUAAGGUCUGCGAUCAGUGAUUGAGGGGAAAUUUGGAGUAUGGAAAGCAAAAUGGAGGAUUUUGGAUCGUAAGCAUUUAAAGUAUGAUCUUGUCAAGUGGAUUAAGCUGGUGACAACAACGAUGGCGCUACACAACUUCAUGCGUGUAUCGUCAUGUCUAAAAAAGAGGAAGAUGUACAGAAGAUGAACUCGCCGGCUAUACUAUAUGCGGUGGAAGAGAGUUAUAGUAUAGUAUGUUUUCUUUAGUGUUACUAUUUAUAUAAUGUUACUAUACUAUUUCAGAUAUAGUCUCCUCUCACUCUUGUAUUUCUAUGCUAUAUCUAUGAAAAUGAACAAUCUGUUGUGACCUUUAGUUUCUACAUUUCUCUAUUUCUUCAUGUUCAUUAAUAAAUAAUAAAUAAUUUUUCAUGUUCUAUUUUUAUUUAAUUGUUGUAAAUAAUUACUCGUUCAUUGACUAGUGGUAGAACACGUCAAAUUACCAAACUAAAUAGUAUGAACUCGUUAUUGUAUUUCUAUACAUACGCAAGAAAUGGAAUAACACUUACAUCUCUACUGAUAUUGACAAACAUAUAUAUUUCUUGUUACUCCGACUCAAUCACCUACACAUGUACGAUGAGUACUACUAUCACUAUCGGUUGUUUGACAAAUUCAUUAUAUACCAAUUUCUAGUUUACAAGUCCAAGUCUAUCCUAUAAUUCAUACUUAUAAAGUAUAGUUUAAUAUUACAUAAUAUUAUGUACUAGUUUCAGAUUUUGAUAAUUGGGUUAGGUUUUAUAUUUAUGUUUAGGGUUCAGUAAGUAGAGUUUAAGAUUUAGUAUUUAGAUGGAUGAGUGAUGUUUAGGGUUUAAUAUUUAGGAGUUGGAAUUUGGAAUAAAGUUUAAUAUUUAGGAGUUGUGAAUAGAUUUGGAGUCCUAUGAUGACGAUAUGGUAUAGAAAACUCGGAUGGAUAUUUAUGUGGUAAACAACGUGUCGUGUUAGUGGGUGGUGUUAUAAUUAAUAGUUGAGUUUUACAACCAACCAUAUCAUCUACUUUUUCUCUCUACCAUAAGUUACUUGCAAAAGAUGAGGAUAUAACCGGCUGAAAAAAGGUUAAAUGUUAGUUAGUUAAUUAUGUCAAAAUCAAUGUCUUAUACUUAAUUCUUAUUUUCAGUAAUUUAGAAAAUAAAUCUAUUUUUAAAUCAUGAUUCACAUGGCAGCUGGAGGAAAAAGUAAUGCUAAAUUGGCAUCUUGUGAAAAAGGGUUUUUCGCCUUAUUAAUAUAGACUUCAUUAUUGGCUAUUUUGAGGAUAUGCCUCUUUCUUAGAAGAAUGUUCAUAUUAAUUAUUUUACCAAUUAAAUGAUGAAGACUUAAAUUCAUAGUUUAUUAAGCUUUGGUCAAAGUAUAAAGUAAAGUUUGGUUUAGAAAGUAAAAUUGUGUUCGUGAAACUUAUUGGGGGGGGGGGGGGGGGGUAAUUAACUACUUCAAACUGAAAUUAUUAGAAAUUUAUAAUCGGCAAAUACUAGCACAAGAUGCUACAUGGUAUUUAAUUGUGGAAAAUAAUUAAUACCAUUUCACUAAUGUUCAAAUGUAAUUAGGUAAGAAAAUCAUUCUUUUUGUAUUUCUUUUGACUAUUAUUCUCUAUAGAAAUAAAUUGGUGGAUUAUGUUUUUUCUAUAAUUGACAAGGAAAACAUAUUUUAUGUUGACUACACAAUCCCUAUAUAUAAUUAUCCUACACAAACAAAAAUCAGAAAAUCAAGAAAAUACAUACAAAUGGCUAUCACCAACAAAAUUUUAAUCGCAUUUGUUUUUACUAUCCUUUGUGUCACAUCUGAUGUUCAUUGUAAUACAUAUGCUAGCCCGCCUACUCAUUGUGCUCCAUCUGCUAGUCCUUCUGAUGACGGUCAAGAAAUAAAAUGCUUCACAUACAAUCAGUGUGCAUUUUGGAAGUCAGGGGAGAGACUCUGCGAUGGUAUGUGUAGACGUCUGAAUCAAUUUUUAUAUGGCAGGUGUGCUACUAACAACAAAUGUUGUUGUUACUAAGCAUGCAUCAAAUAUGAAAUAAUUUGAUCACAUGUAAUGGUAUCUGCAUAAAAUAAUAAAAUAAUUAAUCUUCAUAAAUGGUUUAAAAUCAAUGAAAAAGAUUGAGAUUA
Molecule: long non-coding RNA, 3612 nt
Organism: Brassica napus (rape)
Lineage: Eukaryota; Viridiplantae; Streptophyta; Magnoliopsida; Brassicales; Brassicaceae
Exons: 2
Source: RefSeq, a predicted model, not a curated record